RNAcentral lists this ribosomal RNA (840 nucleotides) under Xanthoparmelia mexicana. RNAcentral's name for it is "eukaryotic LSU rRNA". It matches the Rfam family "Eukaryotic large subunit ribosomal RNA", at positions 81 to 936 of the family's 3401-position model. Lineage: Eukaryota; Fungi; Ascomycota; Lecanoromycetes; Lecanorales; Parmeliaceae. The record is from RNAcentral.
CAGUAACGGCGAGUGAAGCGGCAACAGCUCAAAUUUGAAAUCUGGCUCCUUCGGGGUCCGAAUUGUAAUUUGUAGAGAGUGCUUCGGGCGAGACCUCGGUCUAAGUCCAUUGGAACAUGGUGUCAUAGAGGGUGAGAAUCCCGUAUGCGACCGUGGCUCGAGCCCAUGUGAAGCCUCUUCGACGAGUCGAGUUGUUUGGGAAUGCAGCUCAAAAUGGGUGGUAAAUUUCAUCUAAAGCUAAAUACUGGCUGGAGACCGAUAGCGCACAAGUAGAGUGAUCGAAAGAUGAAAAGCACUUUGGAAAGAGAGUCAAACAGUACGUGAAAUUGUUGAAAGGGAAGCGCUUGCAACCAGACCUGCCCGUAGGCGAUCAGCCGCUGUUCUCAGCGGUGCACUCGCUCUGCGAUCAGGCCAGCAUCGGUUUCGGCGGUCGGAUAAAGGCCUUGGGAAUGUAGCUUCCCUUCGGGGGAGUCUUAUAGCCCUCGGUGUAAUGCGGCCAGCCGGGACCGAGGACCGCGCUUCGGCUAGGAUGCUGGCGUAAUGGUUGUAAGCGACCCGUCUUGAAACACGGACCAAGGAGUCUAACAUCUAUGCGAGUGUUUGGGUGUCAAACCCAUACGCGGAAUGAAAGUGAACGGAGGUGAGAACCCUUAAGGGCGCAUCAUCGACCGAUCCAGAUGUCUUCGGAUGGAUUUGAGUAUGAGCAUAGCUGUUGGGACCCGAAAGAUGGUGAACUAUGCCUGAAUAGGGUGAAGCCAGAGGAAACUCUGGUGGAGGCUCGCAGCGGUUCUGACGUGCAAAUCGAUCGUCAAAUUUGGGUAUAGGGGCGAAAGACUAAUC